GACGAACGCUGGCGGCGUGCCUAAUACAUGCAAGUCGAGCGAAGUUUUUCUGGUGCUUGCACUAGAAAAACUUAGCGGCGAACGGGUGAGUAACACGUAAAGAACCUGCCUCAUAGACUGGGACAACUAUUGGAAACGAUAGCUAAUACCGGAUAACAGUAUUUCUCGCAUGAGAGAUAUUUAAAAGUUGGUUAUGCUAACACUAUGAGAUGGCUUUGCGGUGCAUUAGCUAGUUGGUGGGGUAAAGGCCCACCAAGGCGACGAUGCAUAGCCGACCUGAGAGGGUGAUCGGCCACACUGGGACUGAGACACGGCCCAGACUCCUACGGGGGGCAGCAGUAGGGAAUCUUCCGCAAAGGGCGAAAGCCUGACGGAGCAACGCCGCGUGAGUGAAGAAGGAUUUCGGUUCGUAAAGCUCUGUUGUUAGGGAAGAAUGGAUAUGUAGUAACUAUACAUGUAAGAGACGGUACCUAACCAGAAAGCCACGGCUAACUACGUG
This 499-nucleotide ribosomal RNA is filed under the name uncultured bacterium. Its description in RNAcentral is "partial 16S ribosomal RNA". It matches the Rfam family "Bacterial small subunit ribosomal RNA", at positions 28 to 507 of the family's 1533-position model. The record is from RNAcentral.